Molecule: long non-coding RNA, 85 nt
Organism: Lolium rigidum
Lineage: Eukaryota; Viridiplantae; Streptophyta; Magnoliopsida; Poales; Poaceae
Exons: 2
Source: RefSeq, a predicted model, not a curated record
CGGGCUCUAAGCUCGACCCCACCAUCGCCACCUGCAUGACCGGCAGUGCUCUAUGUGAUUGAAAAGUAUACCGGCUUAGGAUCAA